AAUGGUACCAGAGGCUUUUGUCUGUGGACUGGAAAUCUGGCCCAGGAUCUACAAAUGUUUGUUGAAUUAAGUUGAAUUGAACUUCAAAAAGCAGUUUCUCUGUAAGAAACAAAAUGAACUGUCUGAAAUACAGAGGAGGCGGCAGCAGCUGGAGCAGCCAUCUUAGCCCAUGAGAUGGAAGCCAGAUGUUGAGGAAGGCAGGACAACAAUAAGGAAGGGGCAAGGUCUGCGUGUUUAUGACCCACCAUUGUGUGAGGCUGCUGCCCGCCCCAGCCAGAGUGCUGGAUGCCCAGGGCCUGCAUCUGGGGACAAGAGUUG
Molecule: long non-coding RNA, 318 nt
Organism: Cervus elaphus (red deer)
Lineage: Eukaryota; Metazoa; Chordata; Mammalia; Artiodactyla; Cervidae
Exons: 3
Source: RefSeq, a predicted model, not a curated record